UGGGGAAUAUUGGACAAUGGGGGAAACCCUGAUCCAGCGACGCCGCGUGUGUGAAGAAGGCCUGCGGGUUGUAAAGCACUUUUAGUGGGGACAAAAAGCCAGGGGCUAACACCAUCUGGUCUUGAUUUAACCCACAGAAAAAGCACCGGCUAACUCUGUGCCAGCAGCCGCGGUAAUACAGAGGGUGCAAGCGUUAAUCGGAAUUACUGGGCGUAAAGCGCGCGUAGACGGUUUUGUAAGUCAGAUGUGAAAUCCCCGGGCUCAACCUGGGAACUGCAUUUGAUACUGCUUGGCUAGAGUACGGUAGAGGGAAGUGGAAUUUCCGGUGUAGCGGUGAAAUGCGUAGAUAUCGGAAGGAACACCAGUGGCGAAAGCGACUUCCUGGACCAGUACUGACGUUCAUGUGCGAAAGCGUGGGGAGCAAACA
This 427-nucleotide ribosomal RNA is filed under the name uncultured bacterium. RNAcentral describes it as "bacterial SSU rRNA". It matches the Rfam family "Bacterial small subunit ribosomal RNA", at positions 355 to 774 of the family's 1533-position model. The record is from RNAcentral.